GUCUCUCUGUCUCUCAAAAAUAAAACGUUAAAAAAAAAAGUUUAAAAAAAACAGUGAAUGGGCUCAGCCUGAAGGGCUGGUAAUGGGUUUUCUGGAAGGUCUGGUAAAAGAGUGGAGGCCAGAGUUAAAGACAACUCAGGCAGAGGAGCCGAAGGAACAAAGGGGACACUGACAGAGCAGCAUCUUUCACAGGCCUGCUAAAAACAGAAGGUCACCCUCCACACGGAUGCCUUCCCAACCCUCCCUGCUCAGGUCUUGACCCAGCAGUUACUGACACAGAAUAGGAACAAGAGGGUCUGGAGAGGGUAAGGGCCCCUAAGGCAUACUGCCCCUGCCCAUUAGAACAUCCUAUACCCAUGAUACAUGUACUUCCCUCACUUUGCUUUUAUGAAAGACCUACAUUACUACCUGUUUUCACUACCUGAAAGAAUUCCAAAGAGAAUUUUUGCUUUUACCAUCAAAAGGUGAAGAGUGAAAAUAGCAUUCAGCGUUUGUGUUGCAGUUAUAGAGGCAGGCCGCACCCCAAGCAGUAGCAGUGGCAGUGAGAGCGACCCCAACAAGUUCCUUCCCCAGGAACUACACUCAGCAUCUCAGCCUCCAGCCACCAGAGCUCUGAACUAUGUCUGUGAGCAUCUGUGCUCUAUCUCAAUUUAUUCUGUGCCUCCCUUAGCAAGAUGUGCCCUAAGGUAUCAGAAAAGCCUAAGAAGUUUUUUUUUUUUUGGGGGGGGACGGGGGGAAGGUGGGAACAUUCAAAAUAAUUUCUAGAAAUGGUAAUGUUUGCUUUAUGCUAUUUUUUUCUUCUUUGGCUUAUGAAAGUUUUCAUAGGAACACACUAGUUUUGGAUAGUGGAGAAAGCUGUACACCUUUUAUAAACCUCAUCCCAAGACUUGCUUUCUCAUUCUGUUCCCUGUGGGUUCCUCCUUCAGGAACAACCGCAGGCAGCACUGGGGCCCCAAAAUUGCACAGCCCAUCUUAAGAAGCGGGGAAACAGAAAAGAAGGGAAGAGAUUAAUCACUUCCAGAAAAAGUCCCAUGCCACCACAGCUUCCUUCUGGCAAGUUCUACAGGCUGGUAAAACAAGAGACUGAGUUACAUGUUGAGAAAGUGAAAAUUAGUUUGGCCUGAGACAAUGAAAAUCCACCAUGUCAUUCAUCAAGCUGGGAAAACAGACACAGAACACAGAUAAAGCCAGCUGCAAAAUUAGCAGAAAAUUCUAUUUCUCCCAAGGAAACACUGCAGCUGUAAAGUGUCCUAAUGACACUCAGUAGCAUGACUAUUACUUUGUUACUAAGAAAUCUUGCUUUCUAAAAUCAUAGUUUAUCAGAAACUUCAUUUUUGAAAUAAUUUCAGUAAGAACAACACAUCCUGCUGUUGCCUACAGGAUCUAAUUCACUUUGACACAGAGCAGCUGCCUUGAUAUCCAACCCAGGUACAGAUUCAAGAUAGGGGUUCGGGGGUAUAUCAUUCUACAUCUAUCUUAAUUUGUAGUUUCGAAGAAAAGGAGACCUUGUGUCCCAUUUCACCAUCCAGACCUGAUGUUAUCCCUUUUACAUACAGCCCUCCUUUGCUUUAACUUAUCAAAAUACUGUUUCAUAUCAAUUUCAGGGGCACCUGGGUGGCGGUUAAGCGUCUGACUUCAGCUCAGGUCAUGAUCUCACAAUUCGUGAGUUUGGGCCCUGCAUCAGGCUCUGUUCUGACAGCUCAGAGCCUGGAACCUGGUUUGGAUUCUGUGUCUUCUCUCUCUGCCCCUUUCCACUCGUUUUCUCUCUCUCUCUCUCUCUCACUCUCAAAAAUAAAUAAAUGUUUAAAAAAAAUAAAUUUCACCUAAAUGCCAUCCCUCCUUAAAACUGCAUCAUAAUUUUUCCCUUUCUUGGUGGCACAUGCCAUGGUUCCUCUGGUAUGUGACCUCCCAACAAGCCAAUAAACCUGACUUUGUCAACUAUAAGUUUGUUCCUGGUGUCCUGAUUAGGACACUUGGAGGUUCUCUUGAUACUCGGUCAAUACCCUCCCUACUAAGCUUUGGCCUCCUUAACUCAGUACUAAUGUGCAUAUCUGAGACUCCUUGAAUCUCAAGACAUUGAAGGUCUCUUUGUCUCUGAUUGUGUGAUUUUACACUGAAUUUAGAUUCCGAUAUCAAAGGACCAAAGAUACAACCAGUUUAAUAUUUGUCUGCUAGAAUUUUUGGUUUCUGGUCAGACCUGAGUGUCCCCUGGUGAAGUUUGACUUUUAACACCAUCUUCUGCCUUAUGUUUGUCCACCAGCCUCUGUUUGUCUAUGAGAACUUUCUCCAGUCUUCUCUGGGUAUGAGAAAUUGGCUUUGAAAGAUCUCUCCACACAGAGCCAGGUGGCUGCUGAUUUCCCAGGUCAGCAAGUAGAAGCAGCCUAACCUUAGGGCUGAGGACUUAAAACACAAGUGAUAUUUUACCUCUGAACAACAGUCAAAAAACCUUUCAUGGGCUUGUCUGCUAAUAAGUCUGUGCUAGCACAUGGCAUAACUUCACUGAGGAUAAAUUUGAAUUAUAGUGGCCACUAGGGGAACUUUGACAUGAACAGGAAUGUUCAUUUGAGAAAUGCCUAAGGCAAAAAGGGAACAGAAACUCUCAGGAGAUUGUAUAACUGGUCUAAAAGAGAGAGAUCACUGUGAUUAAUGUAGAUUUCCCCUCUGUUUCCAUUCUGUAGGGAUUAAUAAACACUGGCUUUUAAUUGUAUGGCUUGAUAAAAUUGUCAAGGGCUUGAGUUACUGUUUAAACCUAUAAUGACUUUCUCUUUUGGGUCUAUGUAUAUAUGAAACAGGUUUUCCUGCAUCUAAACUUUCUCCCUUCUCCUUACAGAGAAAAAAUAACCUUUUUUUUUUAAUAUUUAUUUAUUUUUUGAGAGAGAGACAGAGCGUGAGUGGGGGAGGAGCAGGGAGAGAGGGAGACACAGAAUCCAAAGCAGGCUCCAGGCUCUGCGCAAUCACCACAGAGCCCGACGCAGGGCUCAAACCCAGAAACCGUGAGAUCAUGACCUCAGCCGAAGUCACUUAACAGACUGAGCCACCCAGGUGCCCCGAAAAGAUAACCUUUUACAUUGAUAAUUUCAUAUUUGUCUAAAGCUACCUCUUACUUUUUUUUUAUUUAUUUAUGAGAGAGAGAGAGAGAGAGAGAGAGAGAGAGAGAGAGAGAGAGAGAAAGCAGGGGAGGGGCAGAGAGAGAGGAGAGAGAAAAAAUCCCAAGCAGGCUCCACACUGCCAUCAGGGAGCCCAAUGCAGGGCUCUAACUCACUAACCACAAGAUCAUGACCUGAGCAGAAGUCAAACAUUUAACCAACUGAGCCACCCAGGCACUCCACUCACUUUGUUGUUGGUCUGUCCCUCUGUUUUUCCCACACUUGGGAAUUUUUAAAGAUCAAUUGCUCAGAAAAAAAAAAACAUCAUGGUCAUUAUUUUGCAUACCAUAUAGUCAAAAAUGUCAAAGAAUAAAGAAAAUAAAAAUGUCAGUACACUAUUUUGCAUUAUAAAAUGUAGACAAAUGUAUUUAAAUAGUAGCCUUCAUUACUAUAGCUAUGAGAGAACUUAGCUUCAAUAUAAGAGCUUUUAAAUUUUUUUUUAAGUUUAUUUAUUUUUGACAGAGACAGAGUGCGAGCAUGAGCUGGGGAGGGGCAGAGAGAGAGGGAGACACAGAAUCCAAAACAGGCUCCAGGAUCCGAGCUGUCAGCACAGAGCCUGACGCGGGGCUCGAACUCACAAACUGUGAGAUCAUGACCUGGACCAAAGUCAGAUGCUCAACCGACUGAGCCACCCAGUUACUACGUCAGACCUCAAAGAAAGAAUGCAGUCAAACCUCCGUGAGAAGGACCUUACUAGGUACUGUUAACAACUAACACAACAGGGAACCCAUGCCUCCCAAGUCAAAAGGCAUAAGCCACACGAAAUCCCUGGGAGGCUGUCCUGAGACCUCACACAGAGAAAUCUGAGGAAUCAUUCCAGAACAGAUAACAGCAGGAAGUUGCACCUCCCACCCAAGAUCAUUGGGACCGCACUGGUAACCACAGGAAGUGCCACCUUCCCUCAAGAUCCACCAGACAAGACCACCAGAGCCACCCGCUGCGGCGCUUUAACCGGCACGUGCUUUUGCUCUUUUCCUUUGUUCUUUCUUCUCUGCAAAGUUAAGGUUUCAGUUGUUAACACUUCUUGUCUGUUAACCAGGAUACCUCCAAGGUCUUUAUCUUUAA
Long non-coding RNA from Acinonyx jubatus (cheetah), 4211 nucleotides. RefSeq lists it as uncharacterized. The transcript has 2 exons. The record is from RefSeq and is a predicted model, not a curated record. Lineage: Eukaryota; Metazoa; Chordata; Mammalia; Carnivora; Felidae.